GACCCAAAAAUCUGGCAUCGGUCGGGCUCUAUUAUGUACUGUUGGCCAUGCUCAAUUUUUGUCAUCUCCCUUCACAACAGGUGAAAAGAAAACAAUUGCAUCAUACAAAGACAGCGUGCAGCACAGCAUGCAGCAUAACAUCGCACACUUCAAUCUCUUUCCUUGGGAUCUUGGUAAGUUAAAUGUUAAAUUUGCUAAAGUAUCGUAACUGUAGCAGCAACACGUGUGCUAUUGACUCUGUGUUUCCUUGAAAAUAGCAUUAGCCACACGUGGCGUUUAAUAUUUUUCAGUUUGCACACUUCAGUUUCUUCCUUUGGGAUUUCAGCGAGUUUAAAUUUGAAAUUUAGCUAAAAUAUCGCCAUUGUAGCAGCAACACGUGUGUUAUUAACUCCGUGUUUCCUUGAAAAUAGCAUUAGCCACACGUGGUAUGUAUAGCUAUUGAGUUUCUCUCAUAUAAAGUUGAAUGUUGCUAUUUGAAAGCGUGAAUCGCACUGUUAUUGUAUCAUACGUGUAUGAAUGUGCUAUGUAACAUGUGUAUGAAUGUGCCAUGUAAUAACCUUGUGUUAAUUUUAAGUAGGCUAUAGCUCAUUCAAGGUGGCUAUUAGUUGAGCCUAUGCACUUAAAUGAAGUUAGCUAAUGCAGUACUGUUAGAAACCAUGCACUAGCGCUUAGCAAGUGCGCUACAUUUGGGUAUAUGAUGUAGCCAUAUCUUCUAUUGUGCAUGACAGUGCAAGAGGGUUAGUUCACAUGCAUUUAAAUGAUUUUACAAUCAACUAAUGAUUUACUUGAUUGUUAAAGGUUUAUUGCCAUGUAUUUAUAUUGAGUUCAUGGUUUAAAAAAUUAUUUGCUAUAGUUACAUCAGAAUCAGAAUCGGGUUUAUUGCCAAGUAGGUUUACACAUACAAGGAAUUUGUUUUGGUCAGGUGGUGCGUAACAGUGAACAUAAAAUAAGAUAAAUAGAGUAAGAUGAACAAUAGUGCAGUAAAAAACAUAACAGA
Molecule: long non-coding RNA, 997 nt
Organism: Anguilla rostrata (American eel)
Lineage: Eukaryota; Metazoa; Chordata; Actinopteri; Anguilliformes; Anguillidae
Exons: 2
Source: RefSeq, a predicted model, not a curated record